GACGUAGGGCGCGAGCGUUGUCCGGAUUUAUUGGGCGUAAAGAGCUCGUAGGCGGCUUGUCGCGUCGGCUGUGAAAACCCGUGGCUCAACCAUGUGGUCUGCAGUCGAUACGGGCAGGCUAGAGUCCGGGAGAGGAGAGUGGAAUUCCUGGUGUAGCGGUGAAAUGCGCAGAUAUCAGGAAGAACACCCGUGGCGAAAGCGGCUCUCUGGAACGGUACUGACGCUGAGACGCGAAAGCGUGGGGAGCGAACAGG
Molecule: ribosomal RNA, 254 nt
Filed under: uncultured bacterium
Lineage: Bacteria
Description: partial 16S ribosomal RNA
Rfam family: Bacterial small subunit ribosomal RNA
Source: RNAcentral